AUGGAGGUUGUGAAGGUCCGUGUUCAGACACAACUUGCCUUUGCAAGAGGUUUAUCUGAUGGGCUCCGUAAGUUUGUGAAGGCUGAAGGAUAUGCUGGCUUGUACAAGCGAAUUGUUCCGCUCUACGGUCGACAAAUUACUGUUGCUUAA
This 150-nucleotide ribosomal RNA is filed under the name Triticum aestivum (bread wheat). Its description in RNAcentral is "partial small subunit ribosomal RNA". The record is from RNAcentral. Lineage: Eukaryota; Viridiplantae; Streptophyta; Magnoliopsida; Poales; Poaceae.